AUACGUAGGGGGCGAGCGUUGUCCGGAAUGAUUGGGCGUAAAGGGCGCGUAGGCGGCCCGGUAAGUCUGGAGUGAAAGUCCUGUUUUUAAGAUGGGAAUUGCUUUGGAUACUGUCGGGCUUGAGUGCAGGAGAGGUAAGUGGAAUUCCCAGUGUAGCGGGGAAAUGCGUAGAGAUUGGGAGGAACACCAGUGGCGAAGGCGACUUACUGGACUGUAACUGACGCUGAGGCGCGAAAGUGUGGGGAGCAAACAGGAUUAGAUACCCUGGUAGUCCACACUGUAAACGAUGAAUGCUAGGUGUAGGGGGUAUCGACCCCUUCUGUGCCGCAGUCAACACAAUAAGCAUUCCGCCUGGGGAGUACGGCCGCAAGGUUGAAACUCAAAUGAAUUGACGGG
RNAcentral lists this ribosomal RNA (396 nucleotides) under uncultured bacterium. RNAcentral describes it as "partial 16S ribosomal RNA". It matches the Rfam family "Bacterial small subunit ribosomal RNA", at positions 523 to 917 of the family's 1533-position model. The record is from RNAcentral.